RNAcentral lists this non-coding RNA (30 nucleotides) under Cricetulus griseus (Chinese hamster). The record is from RNAcentral. Lineage: Eukaryota; Metazoa; Chordata; Mammalia; Rodentia; Cricetidae.
CAGAAAGGAGUAAGGAUUAAUAAAACAGAA